Molecule: long non-coding RNA, 781 nt
Filed under: Mus pahari (shrew mouse)
Lineage: Eukaryota; Metazoa; Chordata; Mammalia; Rodentia; Muridae
Description: lncRNA (MGP_PahariEiJ_G0002920.1)
Source: RNAcentral
AGAGGCAGUCAUAGGGCCCAGGCAGGCCACUCUGUGGAAGAGCUCAAAGGGGAGCCUUGACCCUCCAGUCCAAGAGAGAAAGAAGGCAAUAACCCUACACCCAGAAACAGCAGCAGCACAUGUCUUGGGUAUUGGAGUAAGGAAGCCCAGGACCAGUAGAGCAAAAGGGAGUGGAGAAGCUGUGAGCCGGUGUUGCUUGCUUAGCCUGCGUUAUAUGAAAGAGGUUGGAAAAUGAGUAUAAGAAGCUACAAAAGGGAGUUGCCUUUCUUUGGCUGUGGUGUGAGUAAGGCAGCUUACAGAAGAAGCGGUUUUAUUUUGGAGCUAAAGGUUGGAGUCCACCGUGGCAGCUAGUGGCUAGCUGGGGCAGUGGCUGAGAGCUCCCAUCUGGGACACCAAACGGGAAGCAGAGAGUGAACUUGAACUGGUGCGAAUCCUUACUAGUCUCAAGUCUGCUCUGGUGACAUCCUUCCUCGGGCUGCACUGAUAAUUCGUCCCACAGAGCCACCCACUAAGGAGCCUGUAUUCAAAUGUCUGAGACUUCUGAGGGACAUCUCAUUCAAAUGAUCACAAAUUUAUAAGUUAUUGUUAUAUAUACUAUAUAUUAUAAACACAUUUUAUAUACUAUUACAGAUGCAUUUUAUAUAUAUUUCAAAUGCUAUUAUAAAGUUACUACUAUACAUACUAUAAAUUACAUAUAUUCUAUAUACAGUUUCAAAGUUACUAUUCUAUAGACACACCUAUGCAUACACAUUUGCAAAUAAAGACAAUAACAACUGCUGGU